Long non-coding RNA from Physeter macrocephalus (sperm whale), 4153 nucleotides. RefSeq lists it as uncharacterized. The transcript has 4 exons. The record is from RefSeq and is a predicted model, not a curated record. Lineage: Eukaryota; Metazoa; Chordata; Mammalia; Artiodactyla; Physeteridae.
CCCCAGUGUGUCACUGCUGCGGAGUAAACAGGCUCGGAUUCCACUCGGCAGGCAGCGGCAGGGGUUCAGGGCUGCAGCCCAUUCACGGGAUUUAUUGGCCUAAGAAAAUAAAGGAAACUCCACAAAAGAAGCAGAGCCAUGACUGGCUGAUCUAGAACACACACACCCUGGACAGCAGGUAAUUUCAUGCUCUUAAAAUGGGGCAUAAAGUGGUCGUAUUCGACAUUUCUGUCAUCAGAGCCUUGUGGGAAACUCGUGUCAAGAAGCACAAAGCCUGGCAGAAGCAGGAGGCAGAAAGGCUUGAGAAAAGCGCAUUGGAAAAGAUAAAGGAGGAGUGGAACUUCGUGGCCGAGUGCAGAAGGAAGGGCAUCCCCCAGGCUGCGUACUGCAAGAAUGGCUUCAUAGACACCAGCGUGAGGCUUCUGGACAAGAUUGAAAGGAACUCCCUCGCAAGGCAGAGUGCAAUUUCCAAGGAGAGAGACAAACGGAGCAGUGAGUUUGUGUUUGAACUUACGGGGGAGCACUGGAAGGUGAGUCCAUGCGUUUCGGUCCCUACCUACAGCACGCCGAGGCACUUUGCACCGCUGCGGCCGACGUCAGCUGCUAGGCUGAGCUCAGGCCGUUGACCAUGGCCCAGUGCGCGCUGUUGCUGUUGUCUUUAGAGAGCUUUCCCCUGGAUGCGGAGGAGCCAUUGCCGGCUCUGAACCGGGUUCUCGCGUCUUUUCCGCGGUGAAAGACUGUGCAGUCUUGAAAAGAGCUGCGGGAUCCCCUUGGAUCCUUCCGACGCUGCGAGGGACUGGGACCCCAGCGGCUCCUCAGGAUGCCACAGCCUUUACAAUGCUUGAUUCUGGGAAUUCCCUGGCGGUCCAGGGUUUGGGACUCCGCGCUUCCAUUGCCGAGAACGCGGGUUCAAUCCCUAGUUGGGGAGCUAAGAUUCCGCCAAGCCGCGGGGUGCGGCCAAAUAAAAACAACAACAAAAAAAAACGUUCGAUUCUGCCGUCUCCUCGCCACCCCUCCCCGCCCAUUAAAAAUAACUCCUUGCCGCCUUUUUUUUUUUUUUUAAUGCUCUGAGCACUUGACUUGCCUAACACCCUUCUGUGGGCGGUGGCUUUGCUGACUUGUCACAGAGUGUAGAGCCGCAAAGGAAUUUCGCAGACCCUUUAGCCAAUUUUCCUCUGAGUUUCUGAGACCAGGUCAAAGAUGUCCCCUCUUUCUUUCCUCAGGUGUGUACAGGUGCUUCCUGCUCCCACUCCCCCAGGUUGCUGCUGGCUUGGAGUGGCAUCUCUGGGCUGCCUGUGCUCUGAUGUUUCUUGGUUGAAGCAGCACAUGGUGUGUGUGCGCUGCGUGGCGGCACAAAUGAGCUCGGGCUAUCUUCCGUUCAGUGGGACAGAGUUGUCUGGGACCUGCCCUCCAUCUCUUUUUAUCCCACCAUUUUGUUGCUGAAAGGACUCUGGACUGGGAGACCAUAUAUUUUGGGUGACCCUUUAUUGGCCGUGUGACCUGAGGCUGUUUGCUCCAUUUGUAUACAUUUUAUCUCCUUCUCUGUUCAGUGGUGCUGAUGCUUGCCUUGACCCCCUCUGAGGGCUGUUGUGAGGACUAAACGAGCGGAUAUUCUGUGACACUGUCUUGUUAGCGACACAGACCUAUAAAACUGGGAGAGACUAUGACUGAAACCUCUUUGGUGGUCUUUCUCCUGCAUCUGCAUCAUUGAGAUCAGUGGAUACAUGGAUACUGCCUUUUCUGGGGCAAGAUGGAGGGCCUGUCUGGAUUUCUAAUUAAAUACCGCUGCUAAAUCAUUCUCGUGCGCUGUGGUCAAACACGAUUCCAGCCCGCUUGGGGAACCUGUUGAUUCCUCUCGGCUCACAGCACCUUUGGAAAACCACUUUAAAGGGCAUUUAGCGAGUGCCUAGUGUGGUCGGGGGAUAGGAAGAGGGUUAUGAGUCAGCAGGCUAGGGAGACCCCAGGGUGAACUAUGUGGAUGUUGUCUUCAUUACUUACAGCCUUCUUGUCCCCUGCAUUCGGUUCCCUGAGCUGGUACCCUAUCCUCAUGGGUACCCACCGAAGGCAAGACUCUGGGGCCUCAGGCAUUCACUAGUAUGAAUUUCAGUUACUGUUUUCCUUCCCCAGAGAGAUUUGUGUUUCAGUCUUGCCUCUACUUAAGGAGUGAAAAGCUCCAUUAAAGGAUGUUCACCAUCUUAGAGUGCUCACGGCAGCGAGGGAGUUCUGGCCUCUAACAUCACACCAGGCAGCAGGUCUGGCCCCUGCAGGAGGUCAGCAAGAGGUGGAUAGGGCGGUGGAGCUUCUGGGACCUUGGGAACUGGGUGGGGAGAGCUCCCCUGGGGUUCCUUGGAGCGGCUGUGGGGCUGUGACCUAUGACUUGGGUACCCGAUUAGGUUGGGGGUGUCGGGAGUCAGGCAUUCUUUGUGAGCUGGAUGCCCCCAGGCCCUGGGCCCUGCUCUUUCAGGGAGAUUUCUCUAAUUUUACUGAACAACUUUUCAAUAGAAAAUUUCACUUAUACUGUCAAGGUUUUUUUUUUUUUUUUUUUUUGCGCGGUACGCGGGCCUCUCACUGCUGUGGCCUCUCCCGUUGCGGAGCACAGGCUCCGCACGUGCAGGCCCAGCGGCCAUGGCUCACGGGCCUAGCCGCUCCGCAGCAUGUGGGAUCUUCCCAGACCAGGGCACGAACCCGCGUCCCCUGCAUUGGCAGGCGGACUCUUAACCACUGCGCCACCAGGGAAGCCCUACUGUUAAGUUUUUAAUUUCCCAGAGCUGUCUGUUUGUUUUGUGAAUGAAUGAGUCCUGUAAUGUGGCUUUAUAUUUCUACUUUUAUGGAUGAGUCUUAAAUUUUCCUUUAAAAAUUUUGUCUUGUUUUCAUUUCAUGGGGGCUGUUCUUACUUAUCUUGGGAUUGAUAGCUUUUUUUGGAGGAAGUUUCCAUCUUUCAGAGUCUCCUUUUUCUUUUUCGGGUGUUUGUGUUGGUCUGGUAUGUUGGGACUCUCUGGGAGGUCUGGAGACACGGGGUGUCAGGAGCACUGAGAAACUGGAAGCUCCAAGUGUGUGUCAGGUGAGGGCUUCGUUUUUGGAGGGCGUUGCUAUGGAGCCCCAUGUCUCCAGCACGUUCCCCCUAUCCCCUGCCCCAGGAGUGCAUAUUUAUGAUUUGUCUGCAGCUGGUGAGUGCCCACAGAGAGGAUCCUCUCACAUCCUGCAGGCAGGGACAGGCCUGGCAGCCACUGCUCUGGACAGAGAGGUGGGCUGGGUGGGGAAGUCUCAGCAUCCAUCACUCAACCUGUGGUUGCUGCCUCCCUCCCUAGAUGUGCCUGAUGGUCCCCAAUCCAGACACUCUGUUUAAUCCCUCCAGUGGAUAAGCCUCAGUCUUCUACAGGGGCAGUAGUUCUGUGACAUUGAUGGGGGGGGGACAGAGAUCUGGUCCUAAACUUUGAACUUGACCUCCUUCUUUUAGCCCUGCCUUCUGCUCUCACCUCCACAUGCCUGGCUCUUCCACUUCCUGAGCCUCGGGGGCCUCUGAUGAGAAGUUCAGGUUGUGUCUCAUUGUUCCUCCUGCUGGUGGUCUAAGAUUGAGCAGAUCAAGGGAGGUGGGUUACCAUCUUCCAGUUUUCCAGCUACCAACAUUUUCCUGCUGCUGCCUCCCUUCUCUUUCUCUUUGCCCUCUGUAAGGUUUAUAUCUUCAAAAAAUAAUUCCUUUACUGUCAUCUUUCGUGGAAUUUUAGAGAGGAGCAAAAGUGUACGUGUUGUGUUCAAUCUGCCAUCUUUACCCUGUUCCUUUUAUUUUUAUUUAACACGCUAUCUUGAGAUUUUCCCAUGUUAUUAAAAAUAGUUAUGGAUAUAAUUUUAGAAGGCAUAAUAACCUUUCCAAGUGUGCCAUUAUUGGAAGAGCAAUAUGAGAGAAGUUUUUAUGAGACACUUGAUAAUUGAAGCUUCAAAAGACAGAGUGUUUUUAUGACCUAGGGUCAGCUCCCUGAUGCCCCAGCUCGUCAUCUUGUCUCAGCGGCAGGAGGAAACCAUCUGAUCUGGUGUGGGUUGCAUUCAGAUAAGGAUCAGGAGGUUCCAAGAUGGGUUUGCCAGGCCCGGGUGCUGGGGGCAGUCACACGGGGCCCUGUGCUUGAUUUAAUGCUCUGCUGUCACCAUCUUGAAAUUC